AGGCCGGUCGUCUAAUGGACAGGAUACCAGGUUUCGGCCCUGUUGAUGGGGGUUCGAGUCCCUCCCGGCCUG
RNAcentral lists this transfer RNA (72 nucleotides) under Candidatus Pacearchaeota archaeon. RNAcentral's name for it is "tRNA-Arg". It matches the Rfam family "tRNA". From Rfam's summary of the family: Transfer RNA (tRNA) molecules are approximately 80 nucleotides in length. The record is from RNAcentral. Lineage: Archaea; Nanobdellati.